AACGCAUAUUGCGCCCUCUGGUAUUCCGGGGGGCAUGCCUGUUCGAGCGUCAUUAUCACCCCUCAAGCCCGGCUUGUUGUUGGACGUCGGCGGCUGCUUUUAAGCGGCCACCCGUCUCAAAGAUAAUGACGGCGUCUGUGAGGACUCCUGUACACUGAGCUUUCGGGCACGUACUAGGCUAGCACUCCAGGCCCGGUCUUGGUCGCUUCGGCGACAAACUUUUUUACCAAGGUUGACCUCGGAUCAGGUAGGAAUACCCGCUGAACUUAA
This 270-nucleotide unclassified non-coding RNA is filed under the name uncultured fungus. Its description in RNAcentral is "partial contains 5.8S ribosomal RNA, internal transcribed spacer 2, and large subunit ribosomal RNA". The stretch from base 1 to 52 matches the Rfam family "5.8S ribosomal RNA", at positions 103 to 154 of the family's 154-position model. Lineage: Eukaryota; Fungi. The record is from RNAcentral.